AAAGAAGAUCCCCGGCGGCGUGCUACUCAUGCAUGUCAGCGAUGUCUUCGGAACUAGCGGCGGACGGGUGAGUACACGUUUGACCUGCCUGUAAGACUGGGAUAACUUCGGGAAACCGAAGCUAAUACCGGAUACUUUCAAGCAUCGCAUGAUGCUUGAUGGAAAGACGGCUUCGGCUGUCACUUACAGAUUGACCCGCGUCGCAUUAGCUAGUUGGUGAGGUAACGGCUCACCAAGGGCGACGAAUGCGUAGCCGACCUGAGAGGGUGAUCGGCCACACUGGGACUGAGACACGGCCCAGACUCCUACGGGAGGCAGCAGUAGGGAAUCUUCGGCAAUGGGCGAAAGCCUGACCGAGCAACGCCGCGUGAGCGAUGAAGGCCUUCGGGUCGUACAGCUCUGUUGUUAAGGAAGAACAAGUACGAGAGUAACUGCUCGUACCUUGACGGUACUUAACGAGAAAGCCACGGCUAACUACGUGCCAGCAGCCGCGGUAAUACGUAGGUCGCGAGCGUUAUCCGGAAUUACUGGGCGUAAAGCGCACGUAGGCGGCUACUCAAGUCAGAGGUGAAAGCCCGGGGCUCAACCCCGGAACUGCCUUUGAAACUAGGUAGCUGGAAUCUUGGAGAGGUCAGUG
RNAcentral lists this ribosomal RNA (637 nucleotides) under uncultured Bacillus sp. RNAcentral describes it as "bacterial SSU rRNA". It matches the Rfam family "Bacterial small subunit ribosomal RNA", at positions 25 to 663 of the family's 1533-position model. The record is from RNAcentral. Lineage: Bacteria; Bacillati; Bacillota; Bacilli; Caryophanales; Bacillaceae.